GAUGAAGAACGCAGUGAAAUGCGAUAAGUAGUGUGAAUUGCAGAAUUCAGUGAAUCAUCGAAUCUUUGAACGCACAUUGCGCCCCUUGGUAUCCCGAGGGGCAUGCCUGUUCGAGCGUCAUUUCACCACUCAAGCCUGGCUUGGUGUUGGGCGACGUCCCCUUUGGGGACGCGCCUCGAAACGCUCGGCGGCGUGGCACCGGCUUUAAGCGUAGCAGAAUCUUUCGCUUUGGAAGUCGGGGCCCCGUCUGCCGGAAGACCUACUCGCAAGGUUGACCUCGGAUCAGGCAGGGAUACCCGCUGAACUUAAGCAUAUAAUAAGCGGAGGA
RNAcentral lists this unclassified non-coding RNA (328 nucleotides) under soil metagenome. RNAcentral's name for it is "partial contains 5.8S ribosomal RNA, internal transcribed spacer 2, and large subunit ribosomal RNA". The stretch from base 1 to 120 matches the Rfam family "5.8S ribosomal RNA", at positions 35 to 154 of the family's 154-position model. The record is from RNAcentral.